AAGUUUAUCCGGAAUAUC
Molecule: small nuclear RNA, 18 nt
Filed under: Arabidopsis thaliana (thale cress)
Lineage: Eukaryota; Viridiplantae; Streptophyta; Magnoliopsida; Brassicales; Brassicaceae
Description: snRNA_16174
Source: RNAcentral